CCCCGGUAAACGGCGGCCGUAACUAUAACGGUCCUAAGGUAGCGAAAUUCCUUGUCGGGUAAGUUCCGACCUGCACGAAUGGCGUAAUGAUGGCCAGGCUGUCUCCACCCGAGACUCAGUGAAAUUGAACUCGCUGUGAAGAUGCAGUGUACCCGCGGCAAGACGGAAAGACCCCGUGAACCUUUACUAUAGCUUGACACUGAACAUUGAGCCUUGAUGUGUAGGAUAGGUGGGAGGCUUUGAAGUGUGGACGCCAGUCUGCAUGGAGCCGACCUUGAAAUACCACCCUUUAAUGUUUGAUGUUCUAACGUGGACCCGUAAUCCGGGUUGCGGACAGUGUCUGGUGGGUAGUUUGACUGGGGCGGUCUCCUCCUAAAGAGUAACGGAGGAGCACGAAGGUUGGCUAAUCCUGGUCGGACAUCAGGAGGUUAGUGCAAUGGCAUAAGCCAGCUUGACUGCGAGCGUGACGGCGCGAGCAGGUGCGAAAGCAGGUCAUAGUGAUCCGGUGGUUCUGAAUGGAAGGGCCAUCGCUCAACGGAUAAAAGGUACUCCGGGGAUAACAGGCUGAUACCGCCCAAGAGUUCAUAUCGACGGCGGUGUUUGGCACCUCGAUGUCGGCUCAUCACAUCCUGGGGCUGAAGUAGGUCCCAAGGGUAUGGCUGUUCGCCAUUUAAAGUGGUACGCGAGCUGGGUUUAGAACGUCGUGAGACAGUUCGGUCCCUAUCUGCCGUGGGCGCUGGAGAACUGAGGGGGGCUGCUCCUAGUACGAGAGGACCGGAGUGGACGCAUCACUGGUGUUCGGGUUGUCAUGCCAAUGGCACUGCCCGGUAGCUAAAUGCGGAAGAGAUAAGUGCUGAAAGCAUCUAAGC
This 869-nucleotide ribosomal RNA is filed under the name Salmonella enterica. RNAcentral's name for it is "partial 23S ribosomal RNA". It matches the Rfam family "Bacterial large subunit ribosomal RNA", at positions 1918 to 2786 of the family's 2925-position model. The record is from RNAcentral. RNAcentral also lists the same sequence under 2 other names. Lineage: Bacteria; Pseudomonadati; Pseudomonadota; Gammaproteobacteria; Enterobacterales; Enterobacteriaceae.